Molecule: RNA transcript, 5070 nt
Organism: Carlito syrichta (Philippine tarsier)
Lineage: Eukaryota; Metazoa; Chordata; Mammalia; Primates; Tarsiidae
Gene: GRIN3A
Gene name: glutamate ionotropic receptor NMDA type subunit 3A
Exons: 9
Source: RefSeq, a predicted model, not a curated record
AUGAGGAGACUGAGUUUGUGGUGGCUGCUGAGCAGGGUCUGUCUGCUGCUGCCGCCGCCCUGCGCACUGGUGCUGGCCGGGGUGCCCGGCUCCUCCUCACACCCGCAGCCCUGCCAGAUCCUCAAGCGCAUCGGGCACGCGGUGAGGGUGGGCGCGGUGCACUUGCAGCCCUGGACCACGGCCCCCCGCGCGGCUAGCCGCGCUCCGGACAGCAGCCGGGCAGGCGCCCAGCGGGAUGAGCCGGAGCCAGGGACUUGGCGGCCCCCGGCGCCCUCGCCGGGCGCACGCUGGUUGGGGAGCACCCUGCAUGGCCGGGGGUCGCCGGUCGCCCGGAAGCCCGGGGAGGGCGCUGGGGCCGAGACCCUGUGGCCGCGGGACGCUCUCCUCUUCGCCGUGGACAACCUGAAUCGCGUGGAAGGGCUGCUGCCCUACAACCUGUCUUUGGAAGUAGUGAUGGCCAUCGAGGCGGGCCUGGGCGAUCUGCCGCUUUUGCCCUUCUCCUCCCCUAGCUCGCCGUGGAGCAGUGACCCUUUCUCCUUUCUGCAAAGUGUGUGCCACACCGUGGUGGUGCAAGGGGUGUCGGCGCUGCUUGCCUUCCCUCAGGGCCAGGGCGAGAUGUUGGAGCUCGACUUGGUCAGCUCGGUACUGCACAUUCCAGUGAUCAGCAUCGUGCGCCACGAGUUUCCGCGGGAGAGUCAGAAUCCCCUUCACCUACAACUGAGUUUAGAAAAUUCAUUAAGUUCUGAUGCUGAUGUCACUGUCUCAAUCCUGACCAUGAACAACUGGUACAAUUUUAGUUUGUUGCUGUGCCAGGAAGACUGGAACAUCACUGACUUCCUCCUUCUUACCCAGAAUAACUCCAAGUUCCAUCUUGGGUCUAUUAUCAACAUCACUGCUAACCUCUCCUCCACCGAGGACCUCUUGAGCUUCCUGCAGGUCCAGCUUGAGAGUAUUAAGAACAGCACACCCACAAUGGUGAUGUUUGGUUGCGACAUGGAAAGUAUACGGCGGAUUUUUGAAAUUACCACCCAGUUUGGGGUAACACCCUUUGAACUUCAUUGGGUGCUCGGAGAUUCCCAGAAUGUGGAGGAACUGAGGACAGAAGGUCUGCCCUUAGGGCUCAUUGCUCAUGGAAAAACAACACAGUCUGUCUUUGAGUACUACGUACAAGAUGCUAUGGAGCUGGUCGCAAGAGCUGUAGCCACAGCCACCAUGAUCCAACCAGAACUUGCUCUCAUUCCCAGCACAAUGAACUGCAUGGAGGUGGAAACUACAAACCUCACUUCAGGACAAUAUUUAUCAAGGUUUCUAGCCAACACCACUUUCAGAGGCCUCAGUGGUUCCAUCAAAGUAAAAGGUUCCACCAUCAUCAGCUCAGAAAACAACUUUUUCAUCUGGAAUCUGCAACAUGACCCCGUGGGAAAGCCAAUGUGGACCCGCUUGGGCAGCUGGCAGGGGGGAAAGAUUGCCAUGGACUAUGGAAUAUGGCCAGAGCAGGCACAGAGACAUAAAACCCACUUCCAAUACCCAAGCAAACUACAUUUGAGAGUGGUUACCCUGAUUGAGCAUCCAUUUGUCUUCACGAGGGAGGUAGAUGAUGAAGGUUUGUGCCCUGCUGGCCAACUCUGUCUAGACCCCAUGACUAAUGACUCUUCCAUAUUGGACAGCCUUUUUAGCAGCCUCCAUAGCAGUAAUGAUACAGUACCCAUCAAAUUCAAGAAGUGUUGCUAUGGAUAUUGCAUUGAUCUGCUGGAAAAGUUAGCAGAAGACAUGAACUUUGAUUUUGACCUUUAUAUUGUUGGGGAUGGGAAGUAUGGAGCCUGGAAAAAUGGGCACUGGACUGGGCUUGUGGGUGAUCUCCUGAGUGGAGCCGCUCAUAUGGCAGUCACUUCCUUCAGCAUCAAUACUGCACGGAGCCAGGUGAUAGACUUCACCAGCCCUUUCUUCUCCACCAGCUUGGGCAUCUUAGUGAGGACCCAAGACACAGCAGCUCCCAUUGGAGCCUUCAUGUGGCCACUCCACUGGACAAUGUGGCUAGGGAUUUUUGUGGCUCUGCAUAUCACUGCCAUCUUCCUCACUCUAUAUGAAUGGAAGAGCCCCUUUGGUAUGACUCCCAAAGGGCGGAAUAGAAGCAAAGUCUUCUCCUUUUCUUCAGCCUUGAAUGUCUGUUAUGCCCUCUUGUUUGGUAGAACAGUUGCCAUCAAACCCCCAAAAUGCUGGACCGGAAGGUUUCUAAUGAAUCUUUGGGCCAUUUUCUGUAUGUUUUGCCUCUCUACAUACACGGCAAACUUGGCUGCUGUCAUGGUAGGUGAGAAGAUCUAUGAAGAACUUUCUGGAAUACAUGACCCUAAGCUGCAUCAUCCCUCCCAGGGUUUUCGCUUUGGAACUGUCCGAGAAAGUAGUGCUGAAGAUUAUGUGAGACAAAGCUUCCCAGAGAUGCAUGAAUAUAUGAGAAGAUACAAUGUUCCAGCCACCCCCGAUGGAGUGGAAUGUCUGAAGAAUGAUCCGGAGAAACUAGAUGCCUUCAUCAUGGACAAAGCCCUUCUGGAUUAUGAAGUGUCAAUAGAUGCUGACUGCAAACUUCUAACUGUGGGGAAGCCAUUUGCCAUAGAAGGAUAUGGCAUUGGUCUCCCAUCCAACUCUCCAUUGACUUCCAACAUAUCUGAGCUAAUCAGUCAAUACAAGUCACAUGGGUUUAUGGAUGUACUUCAUGACAAGUGGUACAAGGUCGUGCCCUGUGGCAAGAGAAGUUUCGUUGUCACUGAGACUUUGCAAAUGGGCAUCAAACACUUCUCAGGACUCUUUGUGCUGCUGUGCAUCGGAUUUGGUCUGUCCAUCUUGACAACCAUUGGUGAGCACAUAGUGUACAGGCUGCUGCUACCACGAAUCAAAAACAAGUCCAAGCUGCAAUACUGGCUCCAUACCAGCCAGAGAUUACAUAGAGCACUAAACACAUCAUUUGUAGAGGAAAAGCAGCAGCGUUUCAAGACCAAGCGUGUGGAAAAGAGGUAAGAAGAGGCCAAUGUCUUUACAUUUACUAAAAUAAAAGUUUAGCAAUGUAACUGUAUAAAUAUAUCAAAUUAGCACAAUUUGUUGCUAAACAAAGUCAGUAUAAAUACAUGUGGUUUGACAUAGACAGAAAAGAAACCUAAAACAAACAAUAUAUGUGAACACAAUAUACUGUCAUGGUUGAAAGUGUAGAUGUGGACUCUAAGGUCAACCAUUUGGAUCCAAAUCCUGUCACUUAAAAUAUGUGUUACCUUGGGCAAGUUAUUUAUUUAACAUCUCUGUGUGUCAAGUUUCUCGUCUGUGAAAUUGAGAUAAAAACAGUAUCUACUUCCCAGAGUUGUAAAGAUUAAAUGAGACAACGCAUGUAAAGUCCUAAAAACAAGGCAAAUGCCUAAUAAAUGUUAGCUAUUAUUAUGUACAGAAUGCAUGUUAGACUUAAUUCAUGAGAACCUGUAGACAAUUUAUUUCUUGUGACACUGUUUUUUUGGCAUGUUUCCACUCCCUACCUCUUUCCAGCACUCUUAGGAAUACAGUAUUUCAAAUAUGCAGCAGACAUGUCCUGCCUAAUUCAUUUCCUGGCACUUUUCUACAAAUUCCCUAGGAGGGUGCAUCUCCUUAAUAAGAAAUAACAAGCUUUAAAUGCAUAGAUGAUAUUUGAAAAUCAUAAUUCCACACCUUCACCACAGCCAGCCUGUGGAUGACUGUUGCCUCGAUCAUGGUGACUAAAGAUGUCAGAAGCAUUUGGAUCUGGUUCCCAGCUGGCCUCUGUUGCCUGCUGCCUAAGGCAGCCCUCCUGGUUCUUUCACAUGCCCAGAGGCCUCAGAUGAGGGCACACCUCUCAUCUUAACAGAAGUAAAAGGAAUGGAAAUCGUGUUUUCUUUCAUUGCUUGUAUCUCCUCUGGGAUUGCUGCAGUCCCCUUCACUCCAGUUUGCACCUAGCUUUUCAAAAUCAUUUCCAUAUUUCUUAAAGUCUCUCCUUCCAUUCAGUGAGCACUCCCCUGCAACCCUUCUCAGUCCGUGGUUUUCCUGUAUCAUAUUGCCAGACUGUUAGUGACAAGCUGUAUACUACUCAGGUCACAGUUGUUCCAUGUCAUGUUACAUAUAUUUUUUCUAUAAUUAUUUUUAACAUAUGUUUUUCAGCAGAGGAACACAAGAAGACAUAACAGCAAAGAUAUCAUCUUACAAUGGCAAAAUAUUUGUUUGCUAGUUAUAAUAGAAACAGGAAGCCCAGUGAUCCCAUCUCCAACUGUGAUACAAUUCAUAUUCACACUUUCUUACUCAAAUUGAAAACUAAAUGUGUCUUUCCAGUCAACUUACCCACUUUUUCUUGGCAGAUUUUCCUCCUGAACCCCUUCUUUUAAGGAACUAUGGCAAAACAUGCCUUCAUGAUAUAUCUUGAGCUCACAUUUCCUGUGCCCACCUCUCUACAACCCAACAUUUGCAAACUUUCAAACACAUUGAGUGUCUGGGGUCCCACAGCUGUCAUGUCUCUUGAACAGUCCAGUGGAGUACUGAACUUCAGUGUUACAUAAUUGCUCCAUGGAAGACUAUUAUGCUCACUUUUAGUGCUAAAUACAGCUCUCUCACUGGUCACAUUACACUGCUAAGGCUGAAGAAGGCUUGAUACAAAACAUAACCUAAACAUUAUUGAGACCAAGAGUAUAACAUACUCAUUCCUCCCAAUCAGACACUAAAUCUUACAUUCAGCAUCUGUUACCUUGCACUCAUAGGUAUCCCAGAGCCAGACAUCAAUUAACAGAGUCCUGGUGAUGCUAGCAAUUAAGGUUUGCCACAGAGUCCAUCUUUUAUUUAUGCUUCAGCUAUAUAAUACAAAGCUCUGGAGAAAAUCAGACUGGCUGUCUCUACUUACCUGAUCACUGUAAUUGUCUGGAAAGUCCAAGAGAAUGUGUAGAUGCUCUACUCUCAAGUUUUCCCUGCUAUGAAUCAUUCUCGGGUAUUACAGUUAGGUGUGUUGGCUUGAAAAUGAUCUUUCCCUCUUCUUUCAGAAGAAUAGUUAUGCAAAUGCCCAUGCCUGCUACAACUGAACAUCUCUUUCCCCAU